GACGAACGCUGGCGGCGUGCUUAACACAUGCAAGUCGAACGGAAAGGCCCUGCUUUUGUGGGGUGCUCGAGUGGCGAACGGGUGAGUAACACGUGAGUAGCCUACCCUUGACUUUGGGAUAACUUCAGGAAACUGGGGCUAAUACCGGAUAGGAGCUCCUGCUGCAUGGUGGGGGUUGGAAAGUUUCGGCGGUUGGGGAUGGACUCGCGGCUUAUCAGCUUGUUGGUGGGGUAGUGGCUUACCAAGGCUUUGACGGGUAGCCGGCCUGAGAGGGUGACCGGCCACAUUGGGACUGAGAUACGGCCCAGACUCCUACGGGAGGCAGCAGUGGGGAAUAUUGCACAAUGGGCGGAAGCCUGAUGCAGCAACGCCGCGUGCGGGAUGACGGCCUUCGGGUUGUAAACCGCUUACGCCUGUGACGAAGCGUGAGUGACGGUAAUGGGUAAAGAAGCACCGGCUAACUACGUG
RNAcentral lists this ribosomal RNA (468 nucleotides) under uncultured bacterium. RNAcentral describes it as "partial 16S ribosomal RNA". It matches the Rfam family "Bacterial small subunit ribosomal RNA", at positions 28 to 507 of the family's 1533-position model. The record is from RNAcentral.